Molecule: ribosomal RNA, 225 nt
Filed under: uncultured bacterium
Lineage: Bacteria
Description: partial 16S ribosomal RNA
Rfam family: Bacterial small subunit ribosomal RNA
Source: RNAcentral
UACGUAGGGUGCAAGCGUUUAAUCGGAAUUACUGGGCGUAAAGCGUGCGCAGGCGGUGAUGUAAGACAGAUGUGAAAUCCCCGGGCUCAACCUGGGAACUGCAUUUGUGACUGCAUCGCUGGAGUGCGGCAGAGGGGGGAUGGAAUUCCGCGUGUAGCAGUGAAAUGCGUAGAUAUGCGGAGGAACACCGAUGGCGAAGGCAAUCCCCCUGGGCCUGCACUGACU